This 704-nucleotide long non-coding RNA is filed under the name Prunus dulcis (almond). Its description in RNAcentral is "sRNA ncRNA". Lineage: Eukaryota; Viridiplantae; Streptophyta; Magnoliopsida; Rosales; Rosaceae. The record is from RNAcentral.
CUUUUAAUAUUCUCCUUACCUGACUAACUAAUACAACCCACACACCCCGGUUUAGAUAAUACACGCUUAAUUAUACGGCUAAGCACGCGUUCUACGAAAAAAAAUCAAACACUCUUUUCAUCUUCUUCUCCCUAGGGUUCUUCUCCGCUAUCUUCUCCAAAGGUUAUUUUCUUCACUCUUCUCCAGGUAUCCAUCUCUCUCUCUCUCUCUCUCUCUCUCUCUCUCUCUCUCUCUCUCUCUCUCUCUCUCUCCAAUAUGCUUCUUCUUGCUUCUUCUCUAUUCUUUAUAUAUUUCAAUUUUUUUAUUAAAUUUUUGUGGAAUUAGGUUAUGUAUUUUUCGUUUUUGAAAUUAGGUUAUGCUUACUUCCAUGAAUGAAAGCUAAAUCGUAAAAGGACCUAUUUUACAAAUGAGAAACAUUGGACAUGGGCUUAAUGAAUGAAUUGCACAAUCCUAUUACAGAAGCAAAUUAAACCAUUUAAAUGAAUACACAAACUUCACAACAGUAGCGGCAACAACAAUUGAGUCAUCACCAUUUUCCUUUGGUACCUUUGGUUACGAUUUCUUCUAUAGUGGGUUUGGUCUUGCAUUUGGGACAUUGCUGAUUGGUUAUGGGUGGUGCUGUUCGAAUUCCUUGUUUUAUGUUAUCUUAUGUAUUUUGGUUUUGUUUAGUUUUGAAUUGGUCUGGGUGAAAGCUUGGUUCUAGC